ACGUAGGGUGCAAGCGUUAAUCGGAAUUACUGGGCGUAAAGCGUGCGCAGGCGGUUAUAUAAGACAGAUGUGAGAUCCCCGGGCUCAACCUGGGAACUGCAUUUGUGACUGUAUAGCUAGAGUACGGUAGAGGGGGAUGGAAUUCCGCGUGUAGCAGUGAAAUGCGUAGAUAUGCGGAGGAACACCGAUGGCGAAGGCAAUCCCCUGGACCUGUACUGACGCUCAUGCACGAAAGCGUGGGGAGCAAACAGGAUUAGAUACCCUGGUAGUCCACGCCCUAAACGAUGUCAACUGGUUGUUGGGUCUUCACUGACUCAGUAACGAAGCUAACGCGUGAAGUUGACCGCCUGGGGAGUACGGCCGCAAGGUUG
Molecule: ribosomal RNA, 371 nt
Filed under: uncultured bacterium
Lineage: Bacteria
Description: bacterial SSU rRNA
Rfam family: Bacterial small subunit ribosomal RNA
Source: RNAcentral